CGGCAGCACGGAGAGCUUGCUCUCUGGUGGCGAGUGGCGAACGGGUGAGUAAUAUAUCGGAACGUGUCCAAUAAUGGGGGAUAACGAGUCGAAAGAUUCGCUAAUACCGCAUACGCCCUACGGGGGAAAGCAGGGGAUCGUAAGACCUUGCGUUAAUGGAGCGGCCGAUAUCUGAUUAGCUUGUUGGUGAGGUAAAGGCUCACCAAGGCGACGAUCAGUAGCUGGUUUGAGAGAACGACCAGCCACACUGGAACUGAGACACGGUCCAGACUCCUACGGGAGGCAGCAGUGGGGAAUUUUGGACAAUGGGGGCAACCCUGAUCCAGCCAUUCCGCGUGAGUGAAGAAGGCCUUCGGGUUGUAAAGCUCUUUCGCAAGGGAAGAAAACUUAUGAUCGAAUAAAUCAUGAGGUUGACGGUACCUUGAUAAGAAGCACCGGCUAACUACGUGCCAGCAGCCGCGGUAGUACGUAGGGUGCGAGCGUUAAUCGGAAUUACUGGGCGUAAAGCGUGCG
This 513-nucleotide ribosomal RNA is filed under the name uncultured beta proteobacterium. Its description in RNAcentral is "bacterial SSU rRNA". It matches the Rfam family "Bacterial small subunit ribosomal RNA", at positions 67 to 571 of the family's 1533-position model. The record is from RNAcentral. Lineage: Bacteria; Pseudomonadati; Pseudomonadota; Betaproteobacteria.